GACACGUUCAGAAAUGACACUGAAUCCCUGUGUUGAGUCUACAGAGACAUCUAGACUUAAAAUAGAUCAUUUAUAUUUAAGUUUAAAAGGAGGAUGAGACUGAGUUUUUGUAGAGUUAUAAUUACAUUCAAAAUAUACUUUUUUGCAUUGAAAAAAUGUUAAAUUUUUGAAAAGCGAAUAUUGAUGUCAUUCUAUUCUCAAAUCAGUAGAUGCUGUGUCUUCAUUUCUAGUGCUGAUGUGAAAACACAUGGUCAGUUGUUGCUGCGUCAGAGAUAUGAGAAAUUCUUUUCUCUUAGGUGUGCAUCACUGAUAUACUUGUCCGUGAAAGGUGAAAGACACUGAAAUGUAAGAUGCGUGAGUAAAAUCUUGGUAGAGAGGCUCUUUGUGGUUGUUUUAUAUACUUGUAAGUGAUUUAUGAGAUAGGUGUUUAGAAUAAUACUCUUCUGUUAGGGUCACCCUGAUCAGACCGUUCCCUUCCCCUCCCACAGGACUUACAAUACGGUCCCUUGUGCUCUCUGCACAGCUACCCCAGGGCAAAAAACAAACCCCCCUUCACUGAUCCCUCCAGUAACUGUGCAGACAGUUACAGGAUGCGGUUAACAUGUCUGUUCACCUCGCAUAACAAAGCUGGCAAAAAACAUCUCCAGGAUGCAGACAAGACACCUGCACCCUCGACUAAGCUCCCCCACCCCAACCCAGUUCUCCUGCACCCCCAACUCAGCUCCCGCACCCCGACCUAGUUCUGGCCCUAUAAAAACCUGCUAUAGUCUGUAAGCAGGGCUGCCUCCUCUAACUGUGGUGGAGCAGCCAAGCAGCUCAAUAAAGCUUGCUUGCCUGAC
RNAcentral lists this long non-coding RNA (839 nucleotides) under Homo sapiens (human). Its description in RNAcentral is "non-protein coding lnc-MRGPRE-1:9". The record is from RNAcentral. Lineage: Eukaryota; Metazoa; Chordata; Mammalia; Primates; Hominidae.